GGCUUUUAACAAAGUACAAGAGGUAGUUUUGAUGUUUUUCAGGUUCUAGAAUUGCUGUUUGUCAUUUAGCUUAUGGACCAGUUUGGGCAUACCUGAAUUGCAGGCGGGGACCCCGUGCAUCCACUACCUAGAUUGAGAAUGUGAUGGACCCAAAUUUAGUCCCUUACUUAGAAUACUUGCAUUGAUUUCAUAUUCCAGCUUUGAUGAGCUGCUAGAGUUGAGUCAACAGGGAGAUAAUAGAACAAUAGACAUGCUUGUUGGAGACAUCUAUGGUGGUAUGGACUAUUCCAAGAUUGGGCUCUCAGCAUCAACCAUUGCUUCUAGCUUUGGAAAGGCAAUUUUUGAAAAUAAGGAGCUUUCAGACUACAGACCUAAAGAUAUUUCCCUUUCCCUCUUGCGAAUGAUUUCAUACAACAUUGGGCAGGUGAGUUGCUCAAAGAUGUCCCUAAGUAGUCAUCAUCACAAUCACCGUCACCACCAUCACCAUCACCAUCACCAUCACCAUCACUGCCACUACCAUCACCACGACUAACAUUAAUUAUCAUUGUCAUAGCUAUUUAGGUUGGCUUUGUGAAUCAUGUUUCACCCAUCAUUCCAAUCCAAGCCAUGGAUUGCUAACUUGUCUGAAUCGACUUGGACUUGGUCGAGUCUAUUCUGGUUCACUAUAAUGAACCCCCCCCCCCCCGAAAAAAAAAAAAAAAACCCAGCCUGGUUGAGUCGUGACUUGACUCAGAACCAAAUGAGUUGGUGUGAGUUGCUGAGUCAGAAGACCAGGAUUUGAGCCCUGGUAAGUGAAUGGCCUGUCUUACCACCCCGAUCCCAGUUCUUUUAGGUCUUUCCCUUGUCCGCCUCGACCCAUGUUCCUAAUAAGUACAAUAGAUUAAGUAUCUUUACGGUGAAAAUCUGCCGCUGAAC
This is a long non-coding RNA of Magnolia sinica, 915 nucleotides long. RefSeq lists it as uncharacterized. The record is from RefSeq and is a predicted model, not a curated record. Lineage: Eukaryota; Viridiplantae; Streptophyta; Magnoliopsida; Magnoliales; Magnoliaceae. The transcript has 3 exons.